UACGUAGGGAGCAAGCGUUGUUCGGAUUUACUGGGCGUAAAGGGCGCGUAGGCGGCAAUUCAAGUCAGCUGUGAAAUCCCCGGGCUUAACUCGGAACGGUCAGCUGAUACUGCUUUGCUAGAGUGCGGAAGGGGCAAUCGGAAUUCUCGGUGUAGCGGUGAAAUGCGUAGAUAUCGAGAGGAACACCUGAGGUGAAGACGGGUUGCUGGGCCGACACUGACGCUGACAGCGCGAAAGCCAGGGGAGCAAACGGG
This 254-nucleotide ribosomal RNA is filed under the name uncultured bacterium. Its description in RNAcentral is "partial 16S ribosomal RNA". It matches the Rfam family "Bacterial small subunit ribosomal RNA", at positions 524 to 776 of the family's 1533-position model. The record is from RNAcentral.